RNAcentral lists this transfer RNA (75 nucleotides) under Magnetococcales bacterium. Its description in RNAcentral is "tRNA-Val". Lineage: Bacteria; Pseudomonadati; Pseudomonadota; Magnetococcia; Magnetococcales. The record is from RNAcentral.
GUGCGGAAACGGUAAGAAGGGUAUACCCUUGCUUUCACACGGCAGGGGUCACAGGUUCAAUCCCUGUGCCGCCCA